CCCAUAGCGUAUAUUAAAGUUGUUGCAGUUAAAAAGCUCGUAGUUGAAUUUUGGGUCUGGCCGGGCGGUCCGCCCUCUGGGUGAGCACUGUUCCGACGCCCGGCCUAUCCUUCUGGUGAGUCGGCAUGUCCUUUGUUGGGUGUGUCGGGGAACCAGGACCAUUACCUUGAAAAAAUUAGAGUGUUCAAAGCAGGCGUAUGCUCGGAUACAUUAGCAUGGAAUAAUGAAAUAGGACGCGUGGUGCUAUUUUGUUGGUUUCUAGAACCGCCGUAAUGAUUAAUAGGGAUAGUUGGGGGCAUUAGUAUUCAAUUGUCAGAGGUGAAAUUCUUGGAUUUAUUGAAGACUAACUUCUGCGAAAGCAUUUGCCAAGGAUGUUUUCAUUAAUCAAGAACGAAAGUUAGGGGAUCGAAGACGAUCAGAUACCGUCGUAGUCUUAACCAUAAACUAUGCCGACUAGGAAUCGGGCGAUGUUAUUCUCAUGACUCGCCCGGCGCCUUAUG
This 500-nucleotide ribosomal RNA is filed under the name uncultured Glomeromycotina. RNAcentral's name for it is "partial small subunit ribosomal RNA". It matches the Rfam family "Eukaryotic small subunit ribosomal RNA", at positions 591 to 1092 of the family's 1831-position model. The record is from RNAcentral. Lineage: Eukaryota; Fungi; Glomeromycota.